Long non-coding RNA from Cottoperca gobio, 2225 nucleotides. RefSeq lists it as uncharacterized. The record is from RefSeq and is a predicted model, not a curated record. The transcript has 3 exons. Lineage: Eukaryota; Metazoa; Chordata; Actinopteri; Perciformes; Bovichtidae.
GCCUGCCUGCCUGCCUGCCUGCCUUCAACUCUGACUCUGAUCUCCAGCCCCGCAUUAGGGAGUAGUUGCAUGCCUGAGGUGCCGCCGGGAAGAGAGCUGUACCGAUGAGGCCGGUGAAGUGAUGUGUUGAGACAGGAGGGCCCAGUUGCAGAGGUGGGAGGAGUACUCCGGCCCACCUCUGUGGCUCUGACAGCGAGGAUAAACAUGGCACUGCCAGCGGCCCCUGGAGCAUCGCUAAAGCUUGUUAGCAUAGCCACCAGGCCUUGAGGAUGAUGAGUUCUGAAGAGGUGAUUAAGCCAAUGCUGAGGUCUCUUGUAGGCUUCAAAGCACAUGUACUCACAAGGUAGGAGAGGAAGGGCAUUUGAAGAUGGAACCACGGGAAAAGACUGGCGGGGCAGUUCGAGUUCAAUAUGGUCACUGUGCUCCUAGAUAGUCAUUCAUCAAAAGCUGAUAUUGCUGCCGGUGCAGGCAGGGCUUGGAACAGGCCGAGGUUGACCUCAGAGACAUCUCAUGACAAAACUUUUGAGAAAGAUUAGCUGAUUAAGGCACAUACAAUGCAAUCCCGGUGUCAUAAAGUGCUGGUCAGUGAAGAUUUUCCUUUGCGGUCAGUCUCAGGUUUAGAAAAACAAACUUAAAUGUGUGUGAACUUUGCUCUGGAUUUCUCAGCAAGAGUUUAACUAAAGUGUAUGCUACUCCAUCUCAGACUGAGCCCAGAGCGUGCUGCCAAAUACAAAGAUCCCAGAAAUGAGAGUGAGUGGCAUUUAAGCCUCCAUACCAGCGAGCCAUCUGUGCUGGGUGCCACAUAAUCGCAACAGGAUGCAGGCAUUGCUGUACAUCACAACAUCUUCCUGUCUUCUUGUCUACUGCAGCACAGUCACACACCCUGGAUUUUUUUCACAAGCAGUCUCCAACUAAGGCAUGUAGACAGGAGGAAGAGGCAUGCAAAUGGAGGGAGAGGAGCACUGAAACGUGGACAGAGAUGGAAGGUGCUUGUGUAGAUCCAUCUUGACUACAACUGAAACAAGAGACACAAGAGAACCCGAGCGUCACGUUAAAGGGAAACAUUUCAUGCAUCCGGCACGUCACCUAAAUCUGUAUAAUGUAAGGGGACAACAAAAGAUUUGAGAGAGCUGAAAUAAAAUAAGGUACAAGCCAACAAUUAAAUAUUUAUUUUUGGCAUACUGGCAGUUUUACAGCGAGGUGAGUCAGGAACACGCAGUUCACCCAUUUUAUACAUUUGAAAUAAGAGAGCAGGAGGGUGACGUGCAGUAAUGUGUGUGUGGGCCUCCAUAUUGUAUGUGUAUGUGGGUGUUUGCAGAGCUGGAAUAUGUUUAGAAAGUACCAGAUGCUACCAUUAGCAUUUUGAAAUAGGAGUCAGUAACAUAAUCAAACAUAUGGAAAUAACUAAACUCACAAGAAGAUGUUGUUAUGGGUAAUCAUAUGAUUUUAUUUAUUAACUUGUAAUCAGUUAUUUGUAUCUAAGUACAGAAAUAUAAGGCUGUUCUUCUUAGUCUUUAUUAACUAUAAAUACAACUAUUUUAGUGUCUGUAUUAUCCACAAUUAUUGUUUAACAGUGAACUGACAAAUAUAGCAUAGUUUUUUUUAUAAUACUCAAGACCCACUGUGUGUGUGUGUGUGUGUAAGCUGUUCCCACUAUUGUGUUUCAGUGGGCGUGAAGACGCAUGCAUCCUGGCAUGUGCAGUAUGUGUAAGAUGCAUGUAGGCGUGUGAAUCCAAAUUAUUGAGUAAUAAUAUGUAGUACAAGUACUAUAUGUGCACUGGCUUUCUACAAGCACAUAGUGCAUACAGCGCAAAAGGAAUAUGGAAGUAUUAAAAGGCGCCAAGCAGCUGAUUGAGACCGGGUUGGUGUUUGAAUCUGUGAUGGUGUACCAUCAUCACUUUGGGAGCCGCCAGGCUGAGCAUGGCAGGAUUGGAUGCCAGCAGCCAUCUGGCUUUGGAUGGGACUCCUGAGGGAGACACAGGCUGGUGCCAACCUUCAGAAAGCACUUCCAGCUUGUUUGAGAAUGACAUCUAUACUGUGGCCCUGUGUGAGAGGGGAAACUGUGUUCCUGCAGAGCUGUGGCACAUUCGACAAUACUACAUGUUCUACAUAUGUUCCCUGUCCACUGGGUCUGUCUUUAAGGGCAUUGCCGUCUCAAGCUAAUUGUAGUCCUGAAUGAAAAAAUAGCAAUUUAAUUUCCACCAAGAAGUUUAUAUUAUUCAAGA